Long non-coding RNA from Lynx canadensis (Canada lynx), 219 nucleotides. RefSeq lists it as uncharacterized. The transcript has 2 exons. The record is from RefSeq and is a predicted model, not a curated record. NCBI's taxonomy places the organism in Eukaryota, Metazoa, Chordata, Mammalia, Carnivora, Felidae.
GGUGCUUCUCAGCGACCCUUCUAGACAAGAGAGAAGUCAGGAGAGCUGGGAGGGAGAAAGAAAGGUGGCCUGGAAGCAUCCGAGUGACCCGAGGAGGGCAGUGUCCUCAUCUGGGUCGUUCCAGCUGUACGUCCGGAGCAACGUCUGGAGCCAUUUAUACGGGCUCUCGGGAAACAUUUGUUGAACCAGUGGAUGAAAAUAUCGUUAAUUUGUAGUUUA